RNAcentral lists this unclassified non-coding RNA (138 nucleotides) under soil metagenome. RNAcentral describes it as "partial internal transcribed spacer 1". The record is from RNAcentral.
UCAAACAGCGGCCUUCGGGCCUUGCUGCACCCUUGUCUUUUGCGUACCGUAUGUUUCCUCGGCGGGCUUGCCUGCCGGUUGGACAUUCAUCAAAACCUCUUUGUAGUUGCAAUCAGCGUCAGAAAACAAUAAUUAUUA